CAGCCGCCGCGGUAAUACGAAGGGUGCAAGCGUUACUCGGAAUUACUGGGCGUAAAGCGUGCGUAGGUGGUGGUUUAAGUCCGUUGUGAGGGCCCUGGGCUCAACCUGGGAAUUGCAGUGGAUACUGGGUCACUAGAGUGUGGUAGAGGAUAGUGGAAUUUCCGGUGUAGCAGUGAAAUGCGUAGAGAUCGGAAGGAACAUCUGUGGCGAAGGCGACUAUCUGGGCCAACACUGACACUGAGGCACGAGAGCGUGGGGAGCAAACAGGAUUAGAUACCCCAGUAGUCCCUGUCUCUUAUAU
Molecule: ribosomal RNA, 301 nt
Filed under: uncultured bacterium
Lineage: Bacteria
Description: partial 16S ribosomal RNA
Rfam family: Bacterial small subunit ribosomal RNA
Source: RNAcentral